RNAcentral lists this ribosomal RNA (301 nucleotides) under uncultured bacterium. RNAcentral's name for it is "partial 16S ribosomal RNA". It matches the Rfam family "Bacterial small subunit ribosomal RNA", at positions 509 to 807 of the family's 1533-position model. The record is from RNAcentral.
CAGUCGCCACGGUAAUACAGAGGCCUCAAGCGUUGUUCGGAUUCAUUGGGCGUAAAGGGUGCGUAGGUGGCUUGGUAAGUUGAAGGUGAAAUCUCGGGGCUUAACCCCGAAACUGCCUUCAAUACUGCUAGGCUCGAGGACUGUAGAGGAGAAUGGAAUUCACGGUGUAGCAGUGAAAUGCGUAGAUAUCGUGAGGAAGACCAGUGGCGAAGGCGAUUCUCUGGGCAGUUCCUGACACUGAGGCACGAAGGCCUGGGGAGCAAACGGGAUUAGAUACCCGCGUAGUCCCUGUCUCUUAUAC